GACGAACGCUGGCGGCGUGCCUAAUACAUGCAAGUCGAGCGAUCAAGGUUGGUACUUGUUCCACCUGCAUGAGCAGCGAACGGGUGAGUAACGCGUGGGGAAUCUGCCUAUGAGAGGGGGACAACAUCUGGAAACGAAUGCUAAUACCGCAUAAUAACUUUAAACACAAGUUUUAAGUUUGAAAGAUGCAAUUGCAUCACUCAAAGAUGAUCUCGGCUUGUCUUAGCUAGUUGGUGAGGUAAAGGCCCACCAAGGCGAAGAUACAGAGCCGACCUUAAAGGGUGGUCGGCCACAUUGGGACUGGGACACGGCCCAAACUCCUACGGGGGGGAACAGUAGGGGAUCUUCGGCAAUGGACGGAAGGCUGACCGAGCAACGCCGCGGGGGGUGAGAAGGUUUUCGGAUCGGAAAACUCUGUUGAUAGGGAAGAACGUAAGUGGGAGUGAAAAACUCAUCAAGUGACGGUAACUACCCAGAAAGGGACGGCUAACUACGUG
This 497-nucleotide ribosomal RNA is filed under the name uncultured bacterium. Its description in RNAcentral is "partial 16S ribosomal RNA". It matches the Rfam family "Bacterial small subunit ribosomal RNA", at positions 28 to 507 of the family's 1533-position model. The record is from RNAcentral.